GCUGGUUUGGCUCAGUGGAUAGAGUGUCAGCCUUUGGACUGAAGGGUUCCAGGUUUGAUUCCUGGACAGGGCA
This 73-nucleotide transfer RNA is filed under the name Myotis brandtii (Brandt's bat). It matches the Rfam family "tRNA". From Rfam's summary of the family: Transfer RNA (tRNA) molecules are approximately 80 nucleotides in length. The record is from Rfam by way of RNAcentral. Lineage: Eukaryota; Metazoa; Chordata; Mammalia; Chiroptera; Vespertilionidae.